Molecule: ribosomal RNA, 527 nt
Filed under: uncultured bacterium
Lineage: Bacteria
Description: bacterial SSU rRNA
Rfam family: Bacterial small subunit ribosomal RNA
Source: RNAcentral
AGAGUUUGAUCCUGGCUCAGGAUGAACGCUAGCGGCAGGCUUAAUACAUGCAAGUCGUGGGGCAGCAGUCCCGCAGCAAUGCGGGAGCUGGCGACCGGCAAACGGGUGCGGAACACGUACACAACCUUCCUUUAAGUGGGGGAUAGCCCGGGGAAACCCGGAUUAAUACCCCGUAAUAUUGUGAGAUGGCAUCAUUUUACAAUUAUAGCUCCGGCGCUUAAUGAUGGGUGUGCGGCUGAUUAGGUAGUUGGCGGGGUAACGGCCCACCAAGCCUACGAUCAGUAACUGGUGUGAGAGCACGACCAGUCACACGGGCACUGAGACACGGGCCCGACUCCUACGGGAGGCAGCAGUAAGGAAUAUUGGUCAAUGGACGCAAGUCUGAACCAGCCAUGCCGCGUGGAGGAUGAAGGUCCUCUGGAUUGUAAACUUCUUUUAUAUGGGACGAAAAAGGGUCUUUCUAGAUCAACUGACGGUACCAUAUGAAUAAGCACCGGCUAACUCCGUGCCAGCCGCCGCGGUAAUUC